Ziziphus jujuba (common jujube) is the source of this 403-nucleotide long non-coding RNA. RefSeq lists it as uncharacterized. The transcript has 2 exons. Lineage: Eukaryota; Viridiplantae; Streptophyta; Magnoliopsida; Rosales; Rhamnaceae. The record is from RefSeq and is a predicted model, not a curated record.
UAUCCACCCCUUACCAAAAUUGAAAUUUUAUUUUUUUUCCGCUCCCGAAGAAGUGAUUUCAUAUAAAUGAUCAUUGACAAGCUAAUUUUCUUGCUCACACCGUCGCUCAAACCCUAAAUCUGCCUUCUGCUGCAAAUCUUGGUCAUUCUAAUGGGCAUGUCAGGCAAGAAAUCGGCCACCGAAGUUGACGCACCGCCAAAUAACAUCGACUUUAUGAAGAGAAUCACAAAGUGGAAAUACCACCAAAAAAAAAAAAAAAUAAUAAUAAUAAAAGACAAGCUCAAUUCAACACUUUCAAUUUCUCAAUUGCGUCUUCCUCCGUUGAUCCAGUUGCGAACCCGCUAAAGUUGCCAGAUUUUUUAUGUUUUGCCAAUCAUAUUUACUGCUUGAUUUUUUACUUCCA